UCAGGCAGUGGCGCUCCACUGUACGGGUACAGCCCUAUAGUGCAGCAGCUUGAGAACACUCAUUCGCUCCACUUUUCCUCUUGCUUAGGCCCUAUAUGUGGAGCCAUCUGGACGUGGAGAGAGGGAGUCAGCUGCUCCACACACUGAGGCGCGGAGCCUGAAUCCGUCUCAGCUCAUUCUGUGGGAUCAUCUGCGUGGUGGGCUUACACCGUGGAAAAUGCGCUCUCCAUCAUUAGAGCGCCUGUGCAUGCAUGACCAAAGAGGCAGCAGCCUUUCCCUCAGUACUCCAGAGACCUUUAAUUUGCCUGUUGACCCCAGGAUGGAGGUGUUGCCAACUCACAGUGAUACUACCUCACCCACAAGAGACUAAUAAUUCUCAAGUUACUUACAUCAAAAUAUAUAUUUUCAACAUGUUGCAUCAGUGCCUCUAAUUCGUUUUUCUCCUUUAGGGGCUGCCAUUAUAAAGGAGAUACAUAUUUGAUGGCAACUGGCAAGUCUACAAAUGCAUUUUGAUUUUAGUCAGAUUAUUAAUAUCGGACUGUGUUACUAUUAACAGAAAUGUUAAUUAUGAUGUCAAGACAGAGGGAGUCAAGGUGAAAGCUGCACAGCAAUAGCUAAAAAUAAUCCAUGCCAGCCAGAGUACAGUAUGAUCCUGCAGAGGAGUGUUACUGGCAAGGGACCUUUUUGCUGCAACAAAGAGGUGGAAAAGAGGAAGUAAAUGAAUUAGAGUACAAGCCAGAUUUUGUCUUUGUUUCAUCCACACUUGUCCUGUCCCUAUUUUCCAACCUCUCCCUUUUCCUUGCUAUUGGAAGUGCUGCAAAUUGUAUAAUGCUGGUCUUUGUUCUACAGAGUCAAGCCACAUGAAUAGCCGUCCUGAGCACACACAAAAACACACUGACAAACUGAUCAUCUUAAAAAAGCAACGCCCUGGUGCUCACUUGGCCUACUUUCCACGGCAGCACUGGGACGUGGGAAGAGGAAUAGAAUUCAGGGGAGGAUGUUCUUGCACUCUGGGAAACAUUCAGUAUAGCAAGUGUGAUGCACAUAAACAUAGCCUUUGCAUUGUCAACCUUAGACCGUAUUUGCCCCAGAUAACUAGUCCCCGUGUGCUAGACUAUUCUCUUUGACUUUGCAAUUGAAAUCCUGAGAAGAUUAUGCCAAAGCUAAAAGAGGCAAACUCUGGGGUGGGAUUUCAAUUGUCAAUUCCUGUUGGAUUUUAUAGCAUUAUGACAUAUAGUACACCAUCUGUUACGCUUCCCGUGACUAGGUCUACAUCUGCACAAGUGGAGCUUAUUGAUGUGAACAUCAGUACAACUAAGACCUGGUUUUUGAAUGGACAGCAAUUUUCAAUCACCGAUAUUUUUCUCCUGAAUCCCGUUUAACACAGAUGUAUGACUAAGUAGCGGGGUCUCUAGCUUACAAAACACCAGAGCAAAUUAAAAAGGUGCAGGAAAGUAACCACUCCUAACUUUAGCUAAACAGACUUCCUGGAGCGCUAGAUAAUCUGGGGCUUCUAUGUACACCGCCUAACCAAAUGUCGACAUCUGUGAGGGUGUGCAUAAAGAAAAGCUCCUCAGAGAAACGGGGGAUAAUAAUCUUAGUUCCCCUCACCUUCAGCUUGCCCAUAGGGGUUUAAAAGGGAGAUGAAGAAAUCCUAUGUAAACAUGCCAAGUCAAAUUUUCACUUGAAAUGUGACAUAAAGGCAAAGGGCAACCUUGGUGCAUCGCUAAUGUGCUUCCACGCAUGAGUUUUCCAGUGCCCCUGGAUGUAAACAAUUGAUGUAUUCAGUCUGUGGUUUGAACACUGACUCACUGUGCACACUUAAUAUGUUUGAGCAUCUUCUUAGCCAUCACUGUACAUUUAGUGCAUAGGUGAAGAGCCCAAAAGAAGUCAACACAAAGCCUGUACACAAUCAGAAUCUCUGUACUCAAUAGCUGCAUGAAAGUGAGUUUUGCUCUCCUGAGAAACAUACAAAGUUUGAGCAUCUGUUCCAUCAUGUAGUCUUUGUUGAGAAAUUAAAUAUUGAACUGAUCUAGUGUACCAUGAAUGUUUCACUCACAUAGUGAUUAGACAGACUGGAGAGGCAAGACAUCGCAGCACUUUACUCUCUACUUUCAUAUACUGUAUUUGUUGGUCUUGCCUUUAAGUGUUUCACGCGCCAGAUUGUGUUGUUGUUAUGGAAAAUGUUUUUUAAUGUUGCGUCAAUUAUACUUAGCAUGCAUGUGUAACUCGACACAAAAGUAAAUUCAUAUGCAUGUAUGUGCACAAACGCAAUCAUCCUCAGUCUGAUAAUUGCUGUAUAGUGUAGUCCAGCUGAAGCAAUAUAAUUGGAAAAAAGAGAAAAACAUAAAUUAGAGUUUUGGUUUUAUGAUUCAAUUAUGAACUUGGCAGCAUCUGUUUUUUCAUACUUUUAUGUUAUUGUGAAUAUGGAGAAAAUACUGAUUGGUUUUCUUGUCGCAUCUCAGAAUAAAGGGCGUCUCUUUUAUAGUUUCUCAUCCCUUACUCCAAAUCAACAAUUGUCUCUCGGGAGAGUCCCAAAUGAUGUUUCCUGACAUAAACAUUUUGGAUUAUAAUGAGCAGACCAAGCCAACGUGCAAGCAGGAGAAGGAAACAGUAUCAUCACAGAGAUCAUAAAAUGGUGUCGUGAGUAGUCUUUUGUCCAGGACCAUAGGAGAGUUCUGUUGCUAAAGGGAAGGACAAAAGCAGAAGGCGCCACGGGUAUAAGGUUCCCCUGAGCAACAAUACUGAAAGUUUCAACUUGCAGCACAUGGGUGUAACUUUAACUGGAAUACUGUGGAUCAAAGACUCACAAACAAAGUGGGUGGAAAUGCUGAAGGAGUGUCUGUGCUCAAGUGAAGGACAGGUUCACUAGAGAGAAAGCGGGAGCGACAAUUUCUGAAACACAGACCAGGCAAUCAAGGCUAAUUACCGAGCCCGUGUUUUGUGAACUCAAAGGGCAGCAUGAUUCAAUUAACAAAACCGAUGUGUAUUAUAAUUCUGAAAAGCAAAAUUACCUCUGUCGACAACACGCUUAUCAGAUAUAAAACAAAAGCAAAUUCAAAUUAAACUGAACAGUUUCAAAUGUGUUGCUGCUUCGUGCGCUUUAAUAAGGAAGAGUGCACACAGUCGAUUUUGUAUUGCAUCUCAAACAUUCAUUCCGCACUCUUGUCUUCACCUGUCAUCUUUUAGAGAGUGGGAGAAUUAUUCAGUUCUGCUUCUUUAAAUAAAAAACACAGCCUUGAAAUUUGUGAGGCUUAAGGCAAUUCAUCAGGUUAGAUCAGUACAAUGUGGAUGUGUAACCUUUACACUGCACUGGAACCUGCACAUACAAGUGUUAUGAAAGGUCCCCGUGGCACUCUGCUCUUCUGACAUGGAUUUGAAGACUUGCCACUUUAUUAGCUGCUAAGCCCCCACUACUUGUUCUAUAUAGUGGAGGCCUAUGUUAUGAGCUGGGAUCUCAUUGUCUAGCGUUAUUAGAGGUAGAGUCUGCAGCGCUCUCUUGUCUCCCCUCGAGAGUAGCCUGACUAUUUGAAAGGAAGCUACAAGUGCAAUUUAACCCAUCUUAUUUACAAUACGAUCUCUUACAAGGACAUCAUCGCAGCAAGGAUUCACAUAUAAUACAUCUCUACAAUGUGCUUCUUUCCUGUUUUGAUUGUUUCAGGGGAGUUGUUUGACGCUCAAUUGAGCCCUAAGAAGAAAAAAAAUCUCUGAAUGUGUCAAGUUAGAGCAGACACAAACUUUAGUCAACAACACUAGUCCGGUUUUGUAUUUUUCAAAAAUACUUCACAUAAGAUUUAUGCACAACAACAAGUGUUUUCUGCUUAAAGGUCAAAAGAGUUAAUAAAUAAAAAAGAGUGGGUAUGGGGUUCUUAAUGAUAGCAUUAACAUCGUGUCUGGGAAAACAAGCUGUUUGUGAUCAUCACUUUUGUCACCAACGCACACGCACACACACACCCUCCAAAAUGGAAAUGAUCUGUUGGCACUGAAUAAUAAGUGCCAUAGUGCCAUCUAGUGCACAAAUUUGCACACUGAAGAAUGACAGUCCCUGUAUGUAAAACAUACACUACAUACUGCAGCGUACAUGCAAAGGUACAGGGCUUGAGGGCUACUUGUGAUUAUGAUAAAGGAUGGUGUACUGUUUUCACUGAUCGCUUGUGUGCUUCAGUGUGAGUUUCAGCUACACUAAAUGACCACACUGAAAAUUUCCACUCAUAGGGGAAAUAAACAAGGAGACAAAGGUUUGUCUUAGAAGCCAGGUCUUUGACAACCCGCGGCUGUGGCAAGCCGCAAGGAUAAUCUCCUUCAGACAAUGAGACGAUGUUGAAGGCUGUGCAUGCAAAUUAUACUCUGCCAUCUAAAUUACAAAGACAUACACAGACCUCAAGUCAUCAGGCCUCAUAUCUCACUCAUCUGGCCUCCUGGCUGUUAGGUUGCCAGAGGAUACUAUAGAGACAACAGAACAGAAAUAAUAAGAAAAAACACAUGAGCCAAAACAAGAGUCUUGAAUAAUUGAUUGUGUUUGUCUUUUGCUGUUUGUGUGUGAGAGUGUGUGUUUGAGUGAGAGCGAGAGUGUGUGUGUGUGUGUGUUAGGACUCAGGGUCUGGACAGAGCUUAUGCCCCUGAGCAGAGCAGACACAUCCACUGGCCAAUGGUUUGUGUUAAAAACUGUCUGAUUGACCAAAUGUGGGGGAAGGGUAUGUUUGUGCGUGCCGGGCAAAAAUGAAUGUGCAUGGGUAUUUAUGUUCAUGACUGUGUGUGUAAAUUCAAAGAGAAAUAGGUGAGGAUAGUAGCUGCGAUGUGUGUGAUUUUUGGCAAACUAAACCUGGGCAUGAUUAGCUCAUGUUGAAAUCAGCGCUGGUUUUGUAUUCAGUAACAUGGGAAUAAGAUGAAGUAAAGAUUUCCAGGAUAACAAACGCUUUUUGUUAAACGGGCCAGGAAUAGGUGUGUUGUAAGAUGUUAAAAAGUCAAUAUACCUUCAUUUU
Long non-coding RNA from Haplochromis burtoni (Burton's mouthbrooder), 4982 nucleotides. RefSeq lists it as uncharacterized. The transcript has 3 exons. NCBI's taxonomy places the organism in Eukaryota, Metazoa, Chordata, Actinopteri, Cichliformes, Cichlidae. The record is from RefSeq and is a predicted model, not a curated record.